CAUACAGAGGGAUGGACAGACACACACACACAGAGAGAGAGAGAGAGAGAGAGAGAGAGAUUGCGGGUUGGACUGGUGAAACCGGUUCGGGUGUGGCGAUCGAGCAGCUUAGCAGCAGCAGAAGUUUGAUUUUGUUCUCUGCGACAGAAAGAAAAGAUUAAGAAGCUUCAAUCGUCUGUUUGAGACCAACAGCAAGAACAAAGAAAAGCUACUUUUCUUCUGAUCAGUCAGAGGAUGGACACAUGCAAGUUUCCAAAAACUGAUGCACGGGGUGGCCGUUUAUAAGCUUCUGCUUCUGCCCACACCCUUUCAGCCGCACUAAGUUGAGUUCUCUCAUCCUAAUGCCGUCUCAGGUCCCUUCUUCAUUUUGACUGGACGGCUGCCUGUUUUAGCUUCGCUCUCCUCUCUUUAACCAACAUGUCAUCCAAACUCGACAUCUCAUUGACAAACCCUUAUAGUGAUGUGUCCAUCCCUCGUGCCACGCUCCGCCCAUCUGAAGGCGGUGCCACAGUAAUAGCCAAUCCAGCGGCUUUAAACAGUUCCGAUGGCAACCCGUACAAUGCCUCAGUGGGCUCCGUCUCACCACCGCCUUAUACAGUCAAAGAGGACAGAGGAGGGGAGGAGGAGAGUAGGCGGUGCGCUGCCUGCUGCUACCGCUGCAGGAGGAAGUGACGUCUUCAAGAUGCCGUAACAUCAGCAUUCUGAUUGGCUGGUGAUGUGGUUUUUUUUUCAAAGUUGCUCUUGCUGGAUUUGAACGUGAAGUGCUGACAUAACCUUUAACCCCUAACCCUUAACCCUGACCUCCUAAACCAUAGAAGCCAGACGUUCACACUUCGCUGGAGUUGAACAACAUAAAAAUAAACGCCUGAAAAGUCCUCUGAGAGUCUCCCUGCUGUUUUCUACCUAAGGAAAGAUGGAUGAAAAGAAAGAAUACUAGGAGGGAAGAAGGACAUGAGGAAGAAAUGACCAGAACCACCGCCCCCCCCCCCAAAAACCCCCAAACCAAAACAUGAAAGGUCACAAAAGCCAUUUCGGUGACCAUCAAAAGCAAAGUUUAUAUUCUUAAAGGUAUCAGCUAACUUUGAAACAGACAAGGCAGAAAGAAAUACAACUUAAUAAAAUCUGACAAGAAAAUUUAAAAAGGGAUCUGGAAAGUAAUUUAGCACCGUUUUACUUUUAUGAAAAUUAUUGAAAUUAAAACAUUUUAUUCAUUGUCAAUAGCACAACUGAGAAGCAAAAAAUGCUGAAGCUUUUUUCUGACAAGAAUUACAUAUAUAUUAAUAUAGAUUUUUUUUUAUCUUAUUGUGUUAAAUACAUCAGCAGUUCAUGUGAAAAUGAAUUUUCUGCCACAAUUUAACAGCAAUGUAUGUAUGAAGUUCAUUAUAAGCCUUUUUUGUUAGAAUGUGAUUUUUUUAAACUAUAAUGUCUAGCAGUUUUGAGGUAAAUGAACUGAUAUUUUUUAAUUGUGUUCUUUGUAUUUUACUCUUUUUUCAUUUGUCAAAGGAAAUAUUUGUAUUUUGAAAAAGUGUCCAAAUUAUUUAUAUUUUUAGCAGAAUGAAGGACUUUUAAAAUAUAAAAAUAUUUUCUUCUGUUGUGACAUUACAGACUGUGGUGUACAAUCUGUGUUAUUUAUAGUGCUUUUAUUUUGAAAUAUCCAGGGAGACUGGAAGCAGGGGUGCUGAGUGGAGUCCCGCUAUUCAAUUAAGGGACUCUAGUGCUGAGGAGGUUGCAGUACCCCCUGCUGGUGAGGAGCUGUAGUUGUAAGGGAAAUAUGUUUACUGAAUAAAGCAAUUUUAAAAGC
Long non-coding RNA from Thalassophryne amazonica, 1801 nucleotides. RefSeq lists it as uncharacterized. Lineage: Eukaryota; Metazoa; Chordata; Actinopteri; Batrachoidiformes; Batrachoididae. The transcript has 4 exons. The record is from RefSeq and is a predicted model, not a curated record.